CCUACGGGUGGCAGCAGUGAGGAAUAUUGGUCAAUGGACGAGAGUCUGAACCAGCCAAGUAGCGUGAAGGAUGACUGCCCUAUGGGUUGUAAACUUCUUUUAUAUGGGAAUAAAACGAGCCACGUGUGCCUUUUUGUAUGUACUAUAUGAAUAAGGAUCGGCUAACUCCGUGCCAGCAGCCGCGGUAAUACGGAGGAUCCGAGCGUUAUCCGGAUUUAUUGGGUUUAAAGGGAGCGUAGAUGGGUUGUUAAGUCAGUUGUGAAAGUUUGCGGCUCAACCGUAAAAUUGCAGUUGAUACUGGCAGUCUUGAGUACAGUAGAGGUAGGCGGAAUUCGUGGUGUAGCGGUGAAAUGCUUAGAUAUCACGAAGAACUCCGAUUGCGAAGGCAGCUUACUAAACUGCCACUGACAUUGAGGCUCGAAAGUGUGGGUAUCAAACAGGAUUAGAUACCCUUGUAGUC
This 460-nucleotide ribosomal RNA is filed under the name uncultured bacterium. Its description in RNAcentral is "partial 16S ribosomal RNA". It matches the Rfam family "Bacterial small subunit ribosomal RNA", at positions 338 to 795 of the family's 1533-position model. The record is from RNAcentral.